This 465-nucleotide ribosomal RNA is filed under the name uncultured bacterium. RNAcentral's name for it is "partial 16S ribosomal RNA". It matches the Rfam family "Bacterial small subunit ribosomal RNA", at positions 338 to 795 of the family's 1533-position model. The record is from RNAcentral.
CCUACGGGUGGCAGCAGUGGGGAAUAUUGCGCAAUGGGCGAAAGCCUGACGCAGCGACGCCGCGUGAGGGAUGAAGGUCUUCGGAUCGUAAACCUCUGUCAGCAGGGAAGAACGGUCACUGUGCUAAUCAGCAGUGAAUUGACGGUACCUGCAAAGGAAGCACCGGCUAACUCCGUGACAGCAGCCGCGGUAAUACGGAGGGUGCGAGCGUUAAUCGGAAUUACUGGGCGUAAAGCGCUCGUAGGCGGUAUGUCAAGUCAAGGGUGAAAUGCCCGCGCGCAACGUGGGAACUGCCUUUGAAACUGGCAAACUGGAGUGUGUGAGAGGAUAGUGGAAUUGCAGGUGUAGGAGUGAAAUCCGUAGAUAUCUGGAGGAACAUCAGUGGCGAAGGCGACUAUCUGGCACAUAACUGACGCUGAGGAGCGAAAGCGUGGGUAGCAAACAGGAUUAGAUACCCGGGUAGUC